Molecule: ribosomal RNA, 510 nt
Filed under: uncultured bacterium
Lineage: Bacteria
Description: partial 16S ribosomal RNA
Rfam family: Bacterial small subunit ribosomal RNA
Source: RNAcentral
GACGAACGCUGGCGGCGUGCUUAACACAUGCAAGUCGAACGAAGAGCGAUGGAAGCUUGCUUCUAUCAAUCUUAGUGGCGAACGGGUGAGUAACGCGUAAUCAACCUGCCCUUCAGAGGGGGACAACAGUUGGAAACGACUGCUAAUACCGCAUACGAUCUAAUCUCGGCAUCGAGGAUAGAUGAAAGGUGGCCUCUACAUGUAAGCUAUCACUGAAGGAGGGGAUUGGGGCUGAUUAGCUAGUUGGAGGGGUAACGGCCCACCAAGGCGAUGAUCAGUAGCCGGGUUGGGAGGAUGAACGGCCACAUUGGGACUGAGACACGGCCCAGACCCCUACGGGAGGCAGCAGUGGGGAAUCUUCCGCAAUGGACGAAAGUCUGACGGAGCAACGCCGCGUGAGUGAUGACGGCCUUCGGGUUGUAAAGCUCUGUUAAUCGGGACGAAAGGCCUUCUUGCGAAUAGUGAGAAGGAUUGACGGUACCGGAAUAGAAAGCCACGGCUAACUACGUG